This 459-nucleotide ribosomal RNA is filed under the name uncultured bacterium. Its description in RNAcentral is "partial 16S ribosomal RNA". It matches the Rfam family "Bacterial small subunit ribosomal RNA", at positions 338 to 795 of the family's 1533-position model. The record is from RNAcentral.
CCUACGGGAGGCUGCAGUGAGGAAUAUUGGUCAAUGGUCGGGAGACUGACCCAGCCAAGCCGCGUGAGGGAUGAAGGUACAGAGUAUCGUAAACCUCUUUUGUCAGGGAACAACGGCGGGGACGUGUCCCCGGAUGAGUGUACCUGAAGAAAAAGCAUCGGCUAACUCCGUGCCAGCAGCCGCGGUAAUACGGAGGAUGCGAGCGUUAUCCGGAUUUCUUGGGUUUAAAGGGUGCGCAGGCGGUCUGUUAAGUCAGCGGUCAAAGCCCGGGGCUCAACCCCGGCGCGCCGUUGAUACUGGCAGUCUAGAGUUGGAGAGAGGUAUGCGGAAUGCGCAGUGUAGCGGUGAAAUGCAUAGAUAUCGCGCAGAACUCCGAUUGCGAAGGCAGCAUGCUGGCUCCACACUGACGCUGAGGCACGAAAGCGUGGGUAUCGAACAGGAUUAGAUACCCGAGUAGUC